AAGUCGUAACAAGGUUUCCGUAGGUGAACCUGCGGAAGGAUCAUUAACACGUAUCCAACGUUAAACAACCCUGUGAACUUUCAGCGCUCUUGUAGCCCCGGAGGAACAGCAAUCCCGGUAAAUCAAAUGGCGGAAAGAGUUUUGAUUCGGGACCUCUGUCCUUUCCCUAAGCAGUGCAGAAGGAUCCACUGAGUAAGGAUAACGCAUCACGGUUGCCAGAGGUCGAUCACCGGCCGGCAGACAUGUCACAGGGCUUUACGCCCCUUCAUUCACCCCUUGCCUAAUCAAGCCUCGCGGAAACGCCGGGCAUAAAAACCGAACAACUGUUAACAAUGGAUAUCUUGGUUCUC
This 350-nucleotide unclassified non-coding RNA is filed under the name fungal sp. Its description in RNAcentral is "partial internal transcribed spacer region". The stretch from base 1 to 46 matches the Rfam family "Eukaryotic small subunit ribosomal RNA", at positions 1786 to 1831 of the family's 1831-position model. Lineage: Eukaryota; Fungi. The record is from RNAcentral.